This 287-nucleotide long non-coding RNA is filed under the name Gossypium barbadense (sea-island cotton). RNAcentral describes it as "long non-coding RNA (GBAR_LNC013956)". The record is from RNAcentral. Lineage: Eukaryota; Viridiplantae; Streptophyta; Magnoliopsida; Malvales; Malvaceae.
AGGAAGCAAAGUAAGACCCUUCCGGUAAAAUCAACGAAGAGGAAAGGAUGAUCUCUAGACUCGAAAUAUGCAAUUCGAACUAAUUCAGAAACUCAAAAAGAUGCAAAGAAAGAUACAUGUGCAUAUACAUAUAUUACAUAAAAACAUCCAUUCCCGGUAAAGUAAGCAUAUAUAUAGAUCUACAUACAUGCAAAGAAAGGUAUAUAUGUAUAUACAUGUACAUACCUACCUACACAUAUAUCACUAACCACGUAUGUAUGUAUGCCAUCCAUGGUAAAAGAUUCCCC